RNAcentral lists this ribosomal RNA (253 nucleotides) under uncultured bacterium. RNAcentral's name for it is "partial 16S ribosomal RNA". It matches the Rfam family "Bacterial small subunit ribosomal RNA", at positions 524 to 776 of the family's 1533-position model. The record is from RNAcentral.
UACGCAGGGGGCUAGCGUUGCUCGGAAUUACUGGGCGUAAAGGGCGCGUAGGCGGCACUGUUAGUCAGGCGUGAAAUUCCUGGGCUCAACCUGGGGACUGCGCUUGAUACGGCAGAGCUUGAGGAUGGAAGAGGGUCGCGGAAUUCCCAGUGUAGAGGUGAAAUUCGUAGAUAUUGGGAAGAACACCGGUGGCGAAGGCGGCGACCUGGUCCAUUACUGACGCUCAGGCGCGAUAGCGUGGGGAUCAAACAGG